ACAGCAAUAAUGUUCAUCAAAGUAAGAUUUACAAAUAAGUCAACAUGACCGAAAUGGUCAGUUGACCCCUUUAGGAGUUAUUGCCCUUUAUAGUCAAUUUUUAACCAUUUUUUCGUAAAUCUUAGUUAUCUUUUACAAAAAUCUUCUCCUCUGAAACUACUGGGCCAAAUUAAUUCAAACUUGGCCACAAUCAUCUUUGAGGUACCUUGUUUGAAAAAUGUGUCCGAUGACCUGGCCAUCCAACCAAGAUGGCCACCACGGCUAAAAAUAGAACAGGGGUAACAUGUAGUUUUUUGCUUAUAACUCUGAAACCCAAAUCAUUUAGAGGAAAUCUGACAAGGAGUUAAAUUGUUAAUCAAGUCAAUAUAUAUCUGCCCUGAAAUAUUCAAAUGAAUUGGACAACCGGUUGUUGGGUUGCUGCCCUCCAAUUGGUAAUUUUUAAAAAAAUUUUGCUGUUUUUGGUUAUUAUCUUGAAUACUAUUAUAGAUAGCGAUAAACUGUAAACAGCGAUAAUGUUCAUCAAAGUAAGAUCUACAAAUAAGUCCACAUGACCUAAAUGGUCAAUUGACCCCUUAAGGAGUUAUUGCCCUUUAUAGUCAAUUUUUAACAAUUUUCAUUAAUUUGGUAAAUUUAUGUAAAUUUUUACCAAAUAUUUUUCUCUGUUACUAAUUGGCAAAGUUCAUUAUAGAUAUAAUUGUAAGAAGCAAGAAUGUUCAGUAAAGUAAGAACUUCAAACACAUCACCAUCACCAAAAUACAAUUUUGUCAUGAAUCCAUUUGUGUCCUUUGUUUAAUAUGCACAUAGACCAAGGUGAGCGACACAGGCUCUUUAGAGCCUCUAGUUAAUGUUU
This 850-nucleotide long non-coding RNA is filed under the name Mytilus galloprovincialis (Mediterranean mussel). The record is from RNAcentral. Lineage: Eukaryota; Metazoa; Mollusca; Bivalvia; Mytilida; Mytilidae.